GUCUUUUUGUUUAUGAUUUAAAGUCUAGCCUGCCCACUGAAAAUUUUUUGAAUGGCCGCGGUAUCUUGACCGUGCAAAGGUAGCAUAAUAAUUAGUUUUUUAAUUAAAAGCUGGAAUGAAUGGUUGAACGAAGAAAGUUCUGUCUCUGUUUAAAUUUUUUAGAAUUUUAUUUUUAAGUUAAAAAGCUUAAAUAUUUUUAAAAGACGAGAAGACCCUAUAGAGUUUUAUAUUUUUUUAUUUUUUAUGAGUUUUGGAAAAUAUUUUAAUUAAAUAAAAAAUUAUUUUGUUGGGGUGAUAGAAAAAUUUAUAAAACUUUUUUUAUAUUUAAACAUUAAUUUAUGAUUUAUUGAUCCAUUAUUAUGAUUAAAAGAUUAAAUUACCUUAGGGAUAACAGCGUAAUUUCUUUAAAGAGUUCUAAUCGAAAAAGAAGAUUGCGACCUCGAUGUUGGAUUAAAAUUAAAUUUUGGUGUAGAAGCUAGAAGAUUAAGUCUGUUCGACUUUUAAAAUUUUACAUGAUCUGAGUUUAAACCGGUGUAAGCCAGGUUGGUUUCUAUCUUUAAAAAUUUAUUUCAUUUUAGUACGAAAGGACCAAGUGUAAGUAAAAUUUGUUUUAAAUUGAUUAAUAU
Molecule: ribosomal RNA, 626 nt
Filed under: Micropeplus sp. MNCN AI521
Lineage: Eukaryota; Metazoa; Arthropoda; Insecta; Coleoptera; Staphylinidae
Description: partial 16S ribosomal RNA
Rfam family: Bacterial large subunit ribosomal RNA
Source: RNAcentral